RNAcentral lists this ribosomal RNA (253 nucleotides) under uncultured bacterium. Its description in RNAcentral is "partial 16S ribosomal RNA". It matches the Rfam family "Archaeal small subunit ribosomal RNA", at positions 474 to 727 of the family's 1478-position model. The record is from RNAcentral.
UACCCGCAGCACAAGUGGUGGUCAUUAUUAUUGGGCCUAAAGCGUCCGUAGCUGGCCUGUUAGAUGCCUGGGUAAAUCGAUGCGCUCAACGUAUCGACUUCCGGGUAGACCGGCAGGCUCGAGACCGGGAGAGGUGUAGGCUACUCGCGGGGUAGGGGUAAAAUCCUGUAAUCCUGCGGGGAGGACCAGUGGCGAAGGCGCUACACUAGAACGGCUCUGACAGUGAGGGACGAAGCCCUGGGGCGCAAACCGG